GUGCAGCAGGCGAGAAAACUUUACAAUGUGCGAAAGCACGAUAAGGGAACUCUGAGUGCCUCCUAAGGAGGCUGUUCUGAUGUCUAAAAAGCAACAGAAGUAAGGGCUGGGUAAGACCGGUGCCAGCCGCCGCGGUAACACCGGCAGCCCAAGUGGUAGCCACGUUUAUUGGGUCUAAAGCGUUCGUAGCCGGCCAGGUAAGUUCCUGGUAAAUUAGCCGCUUAACGGUUAAGCUUUCAGGGAAUA
This 246-nucleotide ribosomal RNA is filed under the name uncultured microorganism. Its description in RNAcentral is "partial 16S ribosomal RNA". It matches the Rfam family "Archaeal small subunit ribosomal RNA", at positions 330 to 583 of the family's 1478-position model. The record is from RNAcentral.